ACAAACUCGACCUUGAUCUGCAUAAACUCAGCACCAGAAACAAACAUCCCCAAACAAGUCACAUACACACCCGCCUUCACUCCGACCACCUCAAUCUCGAACUCCUCGGGCAACAAAUCGACUUCUGCCAACACUACCACAACCUCAGCUACAACAACCUCAGGCACAGCCUCGACAUCCAGAUGCCCUACAACAUCCUCAACCCUGGAAAUCGUGCGCACCACCUCGAGCACGGCCUCCACAUACAGGGCCUCCACCGCCACAUCCUCUGCAACCUCCUCAAGUCUGACAACCUCGGCCACGGCCUCCACAGCCACAUCCUCUGCAACCUCCUCAAGUCUGCAAACCACUCUCGCCCCCUCGAGCCCGUCCUCCACCUACACGGCCUCGACCUCAACCUCCUCGCUCACCGCCUCUCCUCCAACAUCCUCGCACACGGCCUCAACUCCAACAUCCUCAGGCAUAGCCUCCAGCUCCUCCACAACCACCACCAACCCGACCUCCUCCUCAGCAGCCUCCACUCCAGCACCCUCUGUCACCACCUCAAGUCCUACUUCCUUGAGAACCACCUCAAUCUUGACCUCCUCCUUUUUUAGCCCAACUUCUGACUCCUUUUCCUCAUCCUCAGCCCUGACCUCCACACACCCAAUGAGUACCACCAUGCUCCCAACCUCCUCCACUCUUCCUACUGCCACUAGCACUCUCCCCACCACCACACUGACCACCGCCACCGCACACCCAGCCACCACUAACACCCAGCCAACCAGCACCACCACCGCGCUCCCCACCACCACCGCACUCUCCACCACAACAACCACAUUCCUCACCACCAUGCUCCCAACCACCACCACCACAAUCUCCACCACCACAGUUCCCACCUCCACCACCACGCUCCUCACCUCCACGCACCAAGCCAGUACCACCAACACCCAGCCAACACACACCACCACACUCCCCACCACCGAAACGUACCCAGCCACCACCACCAUGACCAUCACACUCCCCAUGACCACCACCAAGCUCCCCACCACCACCACCCAGCCUAUCAGCACCACCACACUCCCCACCACCACACAAACAGCCACUACCAGCAACACCCAGCCAACCAGUACCAUCACCCUGCCCCACACCACCAACAACCAGGUGACCACCACUACGUACCCCACCACAACCACACUCCCCAGAACCACCACGCACCCAACGAUGAUCACCACUCACCCGACCACCACCACUACACACCCGACCACCACCACCACUACAAACCCAACCACCACCACUACACGCCCAACCACCACCACCACUACGACCACCACCACAACCACAACAAGCCCAGCCACCAGCACUACCACCCCAGGUACCACCCCUCCCACCCUUGGCUGCCUCCAGGGCAGGUUCCUCACCUCACACCUCCCAACCCCACCUCACCUGCUCUUUUCCAGGGGUCUGCGAAAAUGGAGGCACUUGGGUCAACGGCCAAUGCGUGUGUCGCCCGGGAUACACGGGCACCACCUGCAGUUACGGCGAGAGCAGCAUCGAGACCAAAGCCGAGACCAAUGUGUCUGUGAGCGUGGAGCUGCGGGUCACCAACCAGGAGUUCUCCGAGGACCUCCGAAACGAAAGCUCUGA
Molecule: long non-coding RNA, 1626 nt
Organism: Cairina moschata (Muscovy duck)
Lineage: Eukaryota; Metazoa; Chordata; Aves; Anseriformes; Anatidae
Source: Ensembl